UACCGGUUCCCGUACGAUCACCGAAGUUAAGCAACGUCGAGCCUGGUCAGUACCUAGAUGGGUGACCGUUUGGAAAUACCGGAUGCUGCAAG
Molecule: ribosomal RNA, 92 nt
Filed under: Acanthosepion pharaonis
Lineage: Eukaryota; Metazoa; Mollusca; Cephalopoda; Sepiida; Sepiidae
Source: RNAcentral